GACGAACGCUGGCGGCGUGCUUAACACAUGCAAGUCGAACGGAAAGGCCCUGCUUUUGUGGGGUGCUCGAGUGGCGAACGGGUGAGUAACACGUGAGUAACCUGCCCUUGACUUUGGGAUAACUUCAGGAAACUGGGGCUAAUACCGGAUAGGAGCUCCUGCUGCAUGGUGGGGGUUGGAAAGUUUCGGCGGUUGGGGAUGGACUCGCGGCUUAUCAGCUUGUUGGUGGGGUAGUGGCUUACCAAGGCUUUGACGGGUAGCCGGCCUGAGAGGGUGACCAGCGACAUUGGGACUGAGAUGCGGCCCAGACUCCUACGGGAGGCAGCAGUGGGGAAUAUUGCACAAUGGGCGGAAGCCUGAUGCAGCAACGCCGCGUGCGGGAUGACGGCCUUCGGGUUGUAAACCGCUUUCGCCUGUGACGAAGCGUGAGUGACGGUAAUGGGUAAAGAAGCACCGGCUAACUACGUG
RNAcentral lists this ribosomal RNA (468 nucleotides) under uncultured bacterium. RNAcentral's name for it is "partial 16S ribosomal RNA". It matches the Rfam family "Bacterial small subunit ribosomal RNA", at positions 28 to 507 of the family's 1533-position model. The record is from RNAcentral.